Molecule: long non-coding RNA, 5387 nt
Filed under: Sus scrofa (pig)
Lineage: Eukaryota; Metazoa; Chordata; Mammalia; Artiodactyla; Suidae
Description: lncRNA (ENSSSCG00015065357.1)
Source: RNAcentral
UUGAAUGUUUUAAGAUAUCUUGUGAAGGAGGAAACAAAAGCAAACAAAAACCUCCUCCUAAUAUCUCUUUGUUUCAGAUGUGUGUCAAUGGAGAAAUGGCUCUUCUGUAGAUACAGUUACAUGAAGAGUUCCGCUGAUUGUCUUGUCAUAUUACUCACCACCUUUCAUCUCUUGGACUUUUUCUGUGCUGUGGAAUAAGCUGCUUCUGGGUCUCCAGUCCUUUGUACCCUCUUUCCUUGGUCCAGAGCCUUCUCCACAGCAGAGCAGACGCAGAACCUCACUUCCUUAAAAACCACAUUCAGUGACUUCCAGGACAGCAAUCCCUGCCCUCCCACCUUUCAGCCCUUCUUUUCCUAGAGUCUUUAGUGUAUAAAGUCACCUCCUCAAACCUGAAGAGAAAUAGAAGGGCUGUGAAUAACAGGAUCCCAUUUGGAAGGUACCCGGGGAAUAGGGACUGUGCCCUCUUCUAAUUUCAUUUGUUCCGUGUGUGUCAGGAACACUGUUGUCCAUGUUUGCGUCCUUUUUUACCAAACUGGUGUAUCAGAUUGUUACAUAUUUUUCCAUACUACCUAAGUGUUUCUGGAAUUCCUAUGCAAGAGAACUACCUUAUGAUCUAGCAAUCCCACUCCUGGGUGCAUAUCCAGAGAAAACCAUAAUUUGAAAAGCUGCAUGCACCCCAGUGUCCACUGCAACAAUGUUUACAAUAGCAAGGGCAUGGGCACAAUCUAAAUGUCCAUUAUUGACAGAGGACAGGUUAGAGAACAUGUGGUAUGUAUAUACAAUGGAAUAUUACUGAGCCAUAAAAAGUAACAUUUGCAGCAACAAGGAUGGAGUUAGAGAUUAUCACAAUAAAUGAAGUCAGUCAGAGAAGAAUGAAUAUCAUAUGAUGUCACUUAUAUGUGGAAUCUAAUAAAAAUGAUACAGAAGAACUUAUUUACAAAACAGAAACUCACAUAUUUCAAAAUCAAACUUAUGGUCACCAAAGGGGAAACCUCAUGGGGGGAGGGAUAAAUUAGGAGGUUGGGAUUAACACAUACACAUUGCUGUAUAUAAAAUAGAGAACAAGAGCCUAUUAUAUGGCACAGGGUUCUAUCUUCAAUAUUCUGUAAUAACCUACACGGGAAAAAUAUGGAUAUAUGCGUAUGUAUAACUGAAUCACUUUGCUGUACACUUGAAACUAAUACAACAUUGUAAGUCAACUAAGCUCCAAUAAGAUUUAUAAAAAAAUCUAUUUAAUUUUCUUUUUAUUUACUCCCUAUUUUCCUUUCCACAGACUUUAAACAACCAGGUCCAUUAUAUGUCCAUGAGACAAUGAUCCAUAGCCAAGUUUAACCUCACUAGAAGUUUAUAGUUGAAGACGACAAUGUCAUCUGAUCUUCUCAGAAGCCGACUAAUGACAAAUCUUAACUGAUGCAUGUUUUGCUUAAUAUAGUCUGUAUUCACAUUGUGAGAUAUUGGCUAUUUCUAAGUUACAAUAAAGAAGUUGAUUUCUGGAGUUCCCGUCAUGGCUCAGUGGUUCACGAAUCCAGCUAGUAUCCAUGAGGACACAGCUUCAAUCCCUGGCGGGCUGUGGUGUAGGUCGCAGAAGAGGCUCAGAUCCCACGUUGCUUUGGCUGUGGUGUAGGCUGGCAGCUGAAGCUCUAAUUUGACCCCUAGCCUGGGAAUCUCCAUAUGCCACGGGUGCAGCCCUAAAGAGACCAAAAAAAAGUCAGUUUCACAUUAUUACAUAUUGAAGGUGAGGGUACACCUGUCUCAGUAAAUCUCUUUGCUAGUUAUUAAUACAUUCAAUUAUUUUUUCUAAUUAGGAGAAUUGAAUUGCUAUUGUACAUAGUAUUUAAUUACUUAAGUGUGAUGUUCACUGUGGGUUUGGCGAUGCUGUUUAUUGACCACGGGAAGGUCUCCUUUAUUCUGAGCUUGCUGAAAUUUUUGUGUGUAUUGGUUUUGCCAAGUUCUUCUACUGCCUCAAUUGAUAUGAUUAUAUCAAUUAUAUAUAUAUAUAUGUACACACGCGCACACACAUUUUUUCCCCUUUCGCCUGUUGAUGCUCUGGAUAUAUUCCUAGGAUAGACCAUAGACUCACUUGAUCAUGACACUUUCUCUUUUAUGCAUUCCUGGACUCAAGCUAAACAUAUUUUGUUGAGGAUUUUGUGCCUAAAUUCAUGAAAAAUACUGGUUUGCAGUUUUCUUCUCGCUUAUUCAGAUUCUUUCACUUUGGCUGAAUUUUGACAGUUUCUGUUCUUUUCCUGAGAAAUGUGUCCAUUUUUUAAGUUGUCAGCCUAUGACCAUCUAGGCAGUUACAAUGCUUCCUCCUCAUGCUUUUAGUGGUCGCAGCAUCUGUAGGGAUGUCCCAUCUUGUCCCAAUAUUGCUGACUACGCUCUUCUCUCAGGUCAUCUUUGUUGAUAUUUUUCAUCUAUCUUGCUGAUUUUUUUGAAAAAAGGGAUUUUUGUAUCAUUGAGAUUCUCAAUGGUUUCCCUGUUUUCUAUCCCAUUUAUUUCUGUUUUUAUCUUUAUAAUGUUCCUCUUUGUGUUUGCUUUUCAUUUACUUUGUCCCUCUUUUAAUUUUUUUUUCGGGGGUUAAGAACUUGGAUUAUUGAUUUGUAAACAUUUCAUGGUAGCAUUCUUUCUCUGCACUGCUUUAGCUGUAUUUCACAUGUUUUAAUGUUUUAUUUUCAUGCCACCUAAUUUUUUUUGAGAGACUUCUGUAACUCAUGGAUAUUGAGAAAUGCAUUGUUUAAUCCCCAGUUAUCUGGAGGGUGUCCUGUUCUGUUUCUGUCAUUGAUUUCCCAUACGUUGCCUGUAAGGUCAGAGGACACACCUUGCAUGAUUUUAAUUAUUCAAACUUCUUAAAUUUUAAAUUUUCUCCGGGAGUUCCUGCUGUGGCUCAGCAGAAAUUAAUCUGACUAGUACGUGUGAGGACACAGGUUCGAUCCCUGGCCUUAUUCAGUGGGUUAAGGAUCCAGCAUUGCCGCGAGCUGCAGUGUAGGUCACAGAUGCGGCUCAGAUCCCAUGUUGCUGUGGCUGGGGUGUAGGCCGGUAGCUGUAGCUCCGAUUUGACCCCUAGCCUGGGAACCUCCAUAUGCCUUGGGUGUGGCCCUAGAAAGACAAAAAAAUAAAAUAAAAUAAGAGUUUCUCUAAAAUGUUAUGGUGACUGUUCCAUGGACCAAAUCCCUGUAAUAGGCCCCUGGGAAACUCCUCUGACAUGAAGGGAGAUCUUUGUUAUUCUGGGCAGGACUCGAACCUGCCUUCAGUAGAGAGAUGUUCUAUUCCAAGACUGUUUGCCCCAGUGAACAUACCUGAACAGGAAAUCUGAACAAAGCCUCUAGGUGCCUCUGCUCCGGAGACACACAGAAACUGAGGCCCAGGAAGAGCUGAGUCUUUACUGACAUCAUCCCUCAAAUUCCAUCUUAAUUCUUAAGAAAUUCCAACAACUUAAAAUUGUUUUACCAAUAUCUUCAUCUUAAUAAUUUUGAACUCUGUUCCUAUCCAUUCACAUUUACCUCUAUGCAUGUCAGCAAAACUAUGCAGUUUUCCUAUAAAACCUCAGCAGAUUCCUUGUUAAAUAGUAUUAAAUAUUUCUUAUUGCUAGGGUUGUGUGAAGUCUCCCAUUACAAUACUUCUAAUUAGUGUUUGCUGCUAUACAUAAAAUUUAGUAAUUUGAUGGUUUAUUGUGUCAUUCAACACUAACCUUUACUCUGAACUUUUAUUUCCUCUCCUUUAAUAAUUUUCAGGUCAUUGUUAAUUAUUUCUGGGAUGUUAUCUAAUCAUCAAAUGGGAUAGCUUUGCAUCUUAAUUGCCAAAAUAGAGAUUAUUUGUAUUGGUCUACUGGUUAUAACUUUUAGAUCAAAGUCAGUUAGUGCCACAGUGGAAAACUGUCUUUUCCUGACUUCAGUGGGAAUGGAUUUGGUGUUUCAACACAAAUGUGAUGCUGGCUACAGACUUCAGGUUGAUAAUCACUCUGCGAGGACCUGGAGGGCCUGGGGGUGGAUGGGGGAAGGGUGAAUCUGCUGCCUGAAUCAGCCAUGCCAGGGUUCUGCCCUGAAGGCAGAGCUCCCCCUCAGCUUCUGCUUCCUUUCAGCUGGUCUCCUCUCUUAGAGGACAGAGUUAGGAAGGAUUGGAGUGAGGAAGGGGUUUUCACAAACUCUGGGUCCCCUGACCUCUGAUUGCUGUGGUUUCCAGCCCUGCUGAGCACCCCUCAUCCUGAGACAGGGCAUCUUAGUGGUCUGGGAGCCGAGGCAGCAAUCUGGGUGAGGGGGCAGCAGGGUGUGAGGGGUACGGGGGACUGUCUCUGGCCGAUUCUUAAGCGAGAAGCACUAGGUCUAAUCCAGCCAGAACCUGCAAGGGGCUUAAUCUUUGUGGAACUUGGAUCCAAAAUGUGACUGAAAGGAGCCAACAACUUGGUUUUGAAUUUUGGACCCUGUGUCUGGAAUCAGUGGAACCAUCUCAAGCCCUGCUGUCGUCUCUCACAGCGCUGUCUGGCUGGCCUCCUGCAGUUCCCGUGCCCAGACUGGGCGUGGAGGGCAGCUCUGUGUUGAGAAGCGAGCGUGUUCUCCAGCAGGAGAUUUGCAGUGAUAACUCUCAGACAAAAAAAGAGAAGGUGGGUGCUUGCGUCCCACCCACACCUGCCAGGAUGAGGCUCUGGCAGGUGUCACCUCCCUGGGGAGACAUUUCUCCGGGCAUCAGUGGGGGUGGGGGUGGGAGUGAAGCCCCAUGUUAUCGAAUCAGGUCAGGGAGCUCCCUGCUCCGUGAGUGAGAGAGAGAGGCUGGUGGAAAGGAAAGUUGCUUUUAAUUAGAAUCUGCCUGCAACCUGGAAAGAUGGACUCAGUGUCCCCCCAGAUAUGCCUGCAACCUGGAAAGAUGGACUCAGUGUCCCCUCAAAACCAUCUCCGGAAAUUCUAAGGACAUGCAAGUGUUUAAAGGGAUAACGGGAAGUGAUCUCAGCGAAUCACUGAGAUGGGGUCAGAGCCGUUGCCAGCCCCCACUGUGCACAGGCUUGUGGGCUCUGUAAUCUAUACUCCAGGGCUGUCUUGUUUAAGCAGUUUGUUUGUGUGUUGACUGGAGGGGAAGCUGGGGAAGAAAUCUGAUCAUCUGUUAACUAUUCUUUAUUUCUACUUCUGAAAGAACCAAUAAGUUAGGCCAAGUGUUUUGUGAUCAAAAGAUUUGACAGGUGCUGGGGCUGAAGAGCGAAGCCUGGGGGUGCCUGGUUUAAGGUUAGUAACCAGACGAAGGGGGCUCCUGCAGAGAGCUCCUUCCUGCCCCAAGCUGCUCACACAUCCACUGCCUUCCCGUUAUGACGGCUCCUUCCUUUUCAUAAUGAGAAAAAUCUGUCGCUGGAAAGGAGACGCCAGCUCCUGACAUGGGCACAGCACCGUGUUAGCGGAAAGGUGGCC